This 74-nucleotide transfer RNA is filed under the name Nocardia xishanensis. RNAcentral describes it as "tRNA-Leu". It matches the Rfam family "tRNA". Rfam says of the family: Transfer RNA (tRNA) molecules are approximately 80 nucleotides in length. Their secondary structure includes four short double-helical elements and three loops (D, anti-codon, and T loops). The record is from RNAcentral. RNAcentral also lists the same sequence under 3 other names. Lineage: Bacteria; Bacillati; Actinomycetota; Actinomycetes; Mycobacteriales; Nocardiaceae.
UCCCUCGUAGCCCAACUGGUAGAGGCACCGGCAUUAGGAGCCGGGAGUUGCGAGUUCGAAUCUCGCCGAGGGAA